AUGUUCGUAGGCAGGAGAGACGGCUGGCAUGUCCCAUGACAGGACGGGAACGGCUUUCGGGCUUUCCUGCUAAUAAAACGUUUACUCGAAAGGUUGGUCUCUCCAAAUAAACAAAACCUUAAGUAUUU
Molecule: small nuclear RNA, 128 nt
Organism: Zingiber officinale
Lineage: Eukaryota; Viridiplantae; Streptophyta; Magnoliopsida; Zingiberales; Zingiberaceae
Source: RefSeq, a predicted model, not a curated record